AGUGGCGAACGGGUGAGUAACACGUGGGCAAUCUGCCCUGCACUCUGGGGACAAGCCCUGGAAACGGGGUCUAAUACCGGAUACUGACCAUCUUGGGCAUCUAGGCUGWUCGAAAGCUCCGGCGGUGCAGGAUGAGCCCGCGGCCUAUCAGCUAGUUGGUGAGGUAAUGGCUCACCAAGGCGACGACGGGUAGCCGGCCUGAGAGGGCGACCGGCCACACUGGGACUGAGACACGGCCCAGACUCCUACGGGAGGCAGCAGUGGGGAAUAUUGCACAAUGGGCGAAAGCCUGAUGCAGCGACGCCGCGUGAGGGAUGACGGCCUUCGGGUUGUAAACCUCUUUCAGCAGGGAAGAAGCGAAAGUGACGGUACCUGCAGAAGAAGCGCCGGCUAACUACGUGCCAGCAGCCCGCGGUAAUACGUAGGGCGCGAGCGUUGUCCGGAAUUAUUGGGCGUAAAGAGCUCGUAGGCGGUCUGUCACGUCGGUUGUGAAAGCCCGGGGCUUAACCCCGGGUCUGCAGUCGAUACGGGCAGGCUAGAGUUCGGUAGGGGAGAUCGGAAUUCCUGGUGUAGCCGGUGAAAUGCGCAGAUAUCAGGAGGAACACCGGUGGCGAAGGCGGAUCUCUGGGCCGAUACUGACGCUGAGGAGCGAAAGCGUGGGGAGCGAACAGGAUUAGAUACCCUGGUAGUCCACGCCGUAAACGGUGGGCUCUAGGUGUGGGCGACAUUNCACGUCGUCCGUGCCGCAGCUAAC
Molecule: ribosomal RNA, 754 nt
Filed under: Streptomyces sp. NOB19
Lineage: Bacteria; Bacillati; Actinomycetota; Actinomycetes; Kitasatosporales; Streptomycetaceae
Description: bacterial SSU rRNA
Rfam family: Bacterial small subunit ribosomal RNA
Source: RNAcentral